This is a long non-coding RNA of Callorhinchus milii (elephant shark), 355 nucleotides long. RefSeq lists it as uncharacterized. The transcript is spliced from 4 exons. The record is from RefSeq and is a predicted model, not a curated record. NCBI's taxonomy places the organism in Eukaryota, Metazoa, Chordata, Chondrichthyes, Chimaeriformes, Callorhinchidae.
AGGAUCCGACUUCUGUGGACGACACAGCAGGCGACAUGCCUGUGAAAGUGGAGGUGGAGUUCUGUGGUGGAUGAGGAUACAAGAAACACUUUGAAAGCCUUGCCCUGACAAUCCUACAGAAGAUUCCUGAAGCAGAAAUAGGUUUUAGCAAGGGUAGGGAAGGAAGCUAUGAGGUAACGGUAAACGAUAAGCUGAUUUACUCCAAACUGGAAACAAAGCACAUUCCUCACAAUGAAUCUAUCCUUAAAGUCGCGAUAGCAGCGAGCAAAGGUCUUCCGAUACAAAAGGUGGUCGAAAGGAAACGCUGUAUUAUUUUAUAACGGGAGAAACAGCGUCUGAAGACAAAGCAAGUCCG